Long non-coding RNA from Ahaetulla prasina, 9656 nucleotides. RefSeq lists it as uncharacterized. The record is from RefSeq and is a predicted model, not a curated record. Lineage: Eukaryota; Metazoa; Chordata; Lepidosauria; Squamata; Colubridae. The transcript is spliced from 4 exons.
CUCUAUAAUGAAUAGAUAUAGAAGGAAAUGUAUCUGAAAGUCUAACUUAAUCCUAUAGAGGAGCCUAUACUUUGUGAAAACAGAGGAACUGGUUAAAAGAAAUUACUUCCUUGGAUUAAUUUUUAAGUCCAGACAUUAGAGUACAUAAAAACUGUCUGUUUACCAUCUAUCUAUCUCCAACUUAAAGAGGAAGCUCAUGUAUAAAAAGGAGAAAUCAUAAACUACUCUCUCCCAUAAUGAAUGGAGUUUAUAAUGCAGGAUUUGAUAAUUAUUUAUUAAGGGUUUGUGUACUUCCAAGAAUGAUUUAGAAGAAGUGUCUGGGACACUAAUGGAGCUGAGGCUUUUGGGGGGUUUCUAUGUGAGCCUGAAAGCAAAGUAUAUCUUUGCUUUAAGAAUACAUUUAUUUAAAUUAAACAACUCCUUAAAACAAUGGCAUAUUUUUUCAGAAGCCUGAAAAGUCCUGGCUCCUUUAAUGAAUAGCAGAAGUAUGGCACAAGAAGUAUACUCUUGUGUGAGGCCUGAAGCUCCUCUUCUGAACAGUUUUUGAAGACUGCCCAAUCCUAAUUACUAUAACUUUACAGACAGGGUAUAGUCUCUUAUAGCAUUUAGCAAUUCAACAUUUAUAGUGCAUUACCAGAUCAUGCCACAGAGGGAAAAAGGGGAAACAAUGGCAUGGCUUGGCAAACAAGUAAAAUGAAAAUAUUAAAUUUGACAAAUAAAUAAACAAAUGAAGCAGAUAUAGUUUGAUUGCACAAUUUAAUAGCUGUAAGCUAUUUCCAAGUCUUCCAGUCUGUCAGAACAGAUUUUGAGCACAAACAGCAAAUACAGAAUAAAGGAGAGAAAAAGAAACUUCUGUUGCAUUAACGAUUUAAAAAAAAAAAUCAAUUAAACAAAAUUAUAUAUGAAGUAUUCUUAGCCUAAGAAAACUGGAAUCUAAUAUAAAUACUGACAUCUGGUAAUAGAAAUCAAAUCACUGAAAUGUAUUAUUAUCUUAUGCCUCAUCACAAUGAUAAGUUAAAUGUGGAGGUGAUCAACUAACUGAAAUCUGUUUAGAAUACAAGAAUUAAAAUGUAUUUUAAUAUAAACAGCUUGUUAAGAAAGCACUUCAAAUUCUAAGCAUUAAAAUUUAUUAUUUGUUAAAUUUAUUUGCCACCUCUCUUGCUGUGGGGCUACUUGCAACAGAAAAAAACAGAAAUGAAAAGUGUAAACAUAACAGUACCAAAAUAAUGAAAUAAUAAAAUAAGCAAGGAAAAUACAGCAAUAUGAGAUUUAAAAAUGGAUGGAGAGCAAGCAGGGGAUGGGGGGGAGUGGUAUUUAAUAUAGUAGUAACCUCCAGUGGGUCCCCAAGUUAUUUUAUUUUAUUUAUUUAUUUUGUCACAACAUCAUACAAAAAGAUUAUAUAGUAUAUAAACAUAUAUAUGAGUAAAUAUUAGGAGGUAUAAUCAUAUAUAUAUAUAUAUAGGAAGAAGAAAAGGAAAAAAAACAAUAGGACAGGAACGGUAGGCACGUUUGUGCGUUUAUGCACGCCCCUUAUGGUCCUCUUAGGAAUGGGGCGAGGUCAGUAGUAGAAAGUUUUUGGUUAAAGCUUUUAGGAUUAUAGGAAGAGACCACAGAGUCAGGUAAAGUAUUCCAAGCACUGAUGAUUCUGUUACAGAAGUCAUAUUUUUUACAAUCUAGAUUAAAGCGGUUGACAUUAAGUUUAAAUCUGUUGGUUGCUCUUGUAUUAUUGCAAUUAAAGCUGAAGUAGUCUUUAACAGGAAGGACAUUACAAUAGAUGAUUCUAUGAGUUAAACUUAGGUCUUGUCGAAGGCAACGGAGUUCCAAGUUUUUUAAGCCUAGGAUUUCAAGUCUGGUGGGAUAAGGUAUUUUGUUGUUUUCAGAGGAGUGGAGAACUCUUCUUGUAAAAUAUUUCUGGACACGUUCAAUUGUAUUGAUGUCAGAGAUGUGGUGAGGGUUUCAAACAGGCGAGCUGAUUUCUAGAAUUGGUCUAGCAAAUGUUUUAUAUGCUCUGGUUAGUAGUGUAGUGUUUUUGGAAAAGAAGCUACAUAAGAUUAGGUUUACAACUCUUAGAGCUUUUUUUGCUAUGUAGUUGCAGUGGGCUUUGGCACUUAGAUCAUUUGACAUGAAAACUCCAAGAUCUGUAAGGUAAUGUCCAUUGGGGGUCAUCUGUAAGGUAAUGUCCAUCAAGCAUGUACUUAGUGUUUGGGUUCUUUUUUCCUAUAUGUAAGACUGAGCAUGUGUUGGUUGAGAUUUGGAGUUGCCAAGUUUUAGACCAAGUGGUUAGAUGAUCAAGGUCUUUUUGAAUGAUAGAUGUAUUGUCUGUGGUGUUAAAUAGUUUGACAUCAUCAGCAAAGAGAACACAAUUACUUGUGAUAUGGUCACAAAAAUCAUUAAUGUAUAGUAUGAAGAGUGUUGGUCCAAGGACGCUGCCUUGAGGAACGCCACUCUUGACAGGAACAGGAUUUGAUAGAGCAUUGCCAAUUUUGACCACUUGUUGUCUGUUAGACAGAAAAGCAGAUAUCCAUUUGUGAAGGGGUCCCGAAAUGCCAUAGGAUUUUAGUUAUGAGAAAUUAAAGUUUAGAACAAUUGUUGAUGCUAGUCUACUGAUAGCAUUGCUUUUAAUAUGGAUCCCUUGAAUUCAUAAUUAUAUGUCCUUCUACGAAACAGGCAUUGGCAAGCAUCAAUACAGAUAAAAAGCAAAGGUCUGGUUAUACCCUCAAUCAUUUUAUAUUGAGAUUUCUAGACUUGAACAUAUUAAUUGUGUACAAAUAAUGCCUUAAAUGCUGUCAAGACUUGUUUGCUCCCAACACAGCUAUAUUUCUUUUAUCCCUCUGUUGCAUAGAAGAGUUUAAUGGAUAAUCUCCUUUUUCUCUGGUUCAAAUGACUGAUGGAAGAACUUUAAUAGUGGCAAAGAACUUGUGACCAGCCAGAACAUGUUGGACUACACACACUAGCUGCAUAAGCACCUUGGCCAAUGGCAAAGGAUGCUGAAAAUGAUAAUUUAAAACAUCUGGAGAGUUCUACUACAUCUCCUGAGAAUUUACAGGAUGGUUCAUAAGUGAAGUUCAUUAACAGGAGAAGAGUAGCUAGGUAUUGGCAAGGAUACCUACGAAUCAUAUACCAAUGAUUCCUUGACCUACUACAAAAAUUUUCUUUACAGUGCUAUAAAGUAGGAAAAAUACAUAUAGUUUAACUUCAUUUUAAUGAAUUAGCAGAGAAGUGCAUAAAUCUUGGAAUUGUUUAUUUACUUAACAAAUAUACGUCUAUUAAAUAUGAAAGUAUAUAUAAACUGAAUAAAUAUCAUUUCCAUGAUGACAUCAUUGCAGAAAUGAUACAAAUCUGUCACUUGCAACAGUUUUCAUCAAUUGUGCAAUGAUGUUAUUACAUAACUGAUCUAAAUCACCAUGCAUAUUUGGUGCUUUAAAGGUAAAGAAAGGUAAAUCAAGAUUUCACUGUACUUUCACUGGGCAGCAGAGGGAUAUUACAAAAUGUCUGAAAAACUGAGGUAAAACAAGUAAGUGUGAAGGGAAGUCUGUUGAUGGAAGAUCAAAAAGUCAAAUGUGGCCAUGAAUGUGCAAUCAAGGCAUUAUUGCCCCCUUCCCAUUUUUUAAAUGUAUAUCAUGAAUCAAGGGUUCGCGAGAAAACCAUUUUCUAUUUGUGAUGUUAAACAUUUUAAUAUAAAUGUUUGAAUUGUCCAUUCUGUGGUAUAGGGAAAUAUGCAUGUCAGAAUAAUUUUUAAAAGCAAAUGUUAACAUAUUAAAUAUUCAUGACUCACUUUGCGAUUCUCAUACUUGUAAUUUGUUGAUCCAAAGAAAGCACAGUGUACCUAUUUUUAUAACAUCAAUGAUUAAACAAAUAAAAAAUGACCAUUAAAGUGAAUGUUUCAGUUAGGUAAAACCACUACUUUUGGGGUAGGGCUAUACUUAUGAUCAAGUUACACAUUUUGAUGCUUUCUGUAGAGUGAAUGAAUGAUUAAAAGAGAAAAAGAAAAAAGAGAUGUCUACUUAAAACUGGUAACCAAAAUCUGGUUGUCAAGCAACAGAACCACUGUUCGCUUAGUCUGCCAUUUUAAAGAGAUAAAGUAAUUACAUCAGUUAUUUUACCCUGAGGUUAUCAAUACAUACAUACUUCAUUGAACUCAGAGUUUCUAGAAGUGUUCCCUGUCCCUAUAAAUUGAAAGUUACAAAGUAAUAUUUCAGCAUUUCUUCAGGAUACUUCUCAAAAGUAAUCAAAUUUAAUAAGAAUGUUGAAUCUCAUUACAUUUUGUUAAUAUUUGAUAAGAUCCCAACAGAAAUCAUGACAUUUCAGUGCUGUAAUGGGAGGGUACCUAAACUAUUGGGUACUUUAAAAAAUACUAUAAAAUUUAGUUUUUUUUAAAAAAAGCAACAGAAAUUCACUAAAGUUGAUAGACAUGCUUUAAAUUCAAGUGAGGUUUGGAAAGAAAUGGAGGGGGGAAAAUCAGGAAUGUUGGAUUUAAUUUCUCAUAGACGAAGAUGGAUACAUAAUCUAGCCAAUAGAAAUAUACUCACAAACCUGUACUUUACACAAUGGUAGUAAAUAUUGUAUCCAACCUUUGAUAGGGAGAAAAAAUUUUUUUGUUCCAAUUUAUACCGAGGAGCUAAAGUUGGGGAAACGUUCUAGAAAUUCACACCAAAAGUCUGAAUAAAUUCUGAAUAAGUCUGUAUGAAGAAUCCUAUCUCUUGAAAAAUGUUUAAUACUAACUCAAUGGGAUAAAAAGACUCCAAAGUUCAUCAUUAUUAAAUUGCUACGCAUCAUUUUAUGAAAGACUAUACUACUGCUGUAUUCUUCAACCAAAUUUGCUUGUUUAAUAUUAAGCCAUUAAUAUCAAAUAAGCUAGUCUUGAGACCAGACUUGGUAGCUAGACAAAUUAUGCUGAGGGUUGCUUAAACAAACAAUUUCUUGUAUACACCAUGAAAUGGGAGUAUUGUGUAUAAUAAUAUGAUUUCCAUCAUUCCCUCUUCAGCCAUAUAGUAUUUAAUUUAGAAAUAAUUUCCCAAUCUAGAAAUUACGUUGCUCUAAUAUUCUGCUCUAAUAUACGUUGCUCCAGAAUAUUUUUUACAAUGGCAGAUCUUCAAUAGCGCAAUUGCACUAUUGAAAUUGUUCCAGUGAUGUGCUUCUGGAAAUAUAAAUUCAAAUAUUAUUUCCUGCUUCCAUAAAAUUCCUGCUUCCAUAAAACCCUAUUUAGAAAAGGAAUAAUAAGUAUUUCAAAAGAAAAAAAAAGAAAAUUUAAAAGUGACGGGAUCAAAGGCUAAAUAACAUAUUUAGCGAAAAGUACAAAAAACGGAAAUAAACCAAAAAAUAUACAGAUGAAAAUGUUUAAAUAAUUGCAUGUAUUCACAAAUGAAAAAAAUGUCAAGGAAGAACUUUACAUCAGAAAGGGAUAUAGGAGGAAAACCACCAUAUUCUAAAUUACACUGAUAUAUUUGGAAACAGUGGGAAACCAGAUUUCUGUUUUCUCAAUGAAGACCACAUUUUUAAAUUUUAAAUUGCAGGUUAUGUCAAAUUAACAGCAAUUAUGCUGUUAAAGCUAGCAAAUAAACCACAUGUCUAUAGCUGACUAUUAGGGAUGGUGCAAAAAUGUGAAGAAAAGCACUCAAAAUGACAAUGCUUCUUUUUAAAAGUAUCUCCCUUUAUUCUCAACCUGGCUGAAUAUCUGCUGAUUUUGGCCUAAUUCAAAAUGGUGGUGGUAGCUCAUCCCUGCCACCACCUUGUUCUUUCUGACAGUCUUCCUCACAUUUCUCAGGCAACUUGAUAAAUACGUUUUUGGCUUUUUUCUUAAAUAUUAAAUAAUAAAGUACCAUCUCUGAACGUUCUUGAGUAAUUAAUACAUGUUACCCCAAACAUGAAAGGAUUAUUUCAGGGAUGUAUAUAGUACUACUGAAAACAUUCAGUGGACAGUGAUAGAAAAAGAAUGGAUUCAUGGAGUACAGAAGUUUAAAUUGAAAAUUGUAAAAAAGAUUCUGAGCAUUUGAACUGUCGCCUUUGCUUCUUGCUGGAUGUAUUAAUUUUUCUGUAAAAUCCAUCAUGCAAUUUUCUGUGCACCCACACAAAUUUCCUAAUCGUGAUCUCAGCAGAAUUUUAACACUUUCAUUUAAAUCUGAUUUGGGCCUUACAGAAAGUCUGAGUAAUUCAGCACAGGGGUAGGUAUGUCUGUAAUGAGGGAAGUCAAUAAUUCAUCAAGACAUUAUCUGAAAUAUCACAUUUUACCUCACGCCUACUUGGUAACAAAAUGUUGAAAUUUAUAUUAGGAUAGGCAGACUUCAGACUCACUGAAGUAGUGAGGACAAGGAAAGCAUGAUACAAAAUGGUGGAUUAUAGCAAAUGCACAGUAAUAUGAAAUGAAAAGAGUAAUUACUCAAGUGAAAGACAACCUCGCACAACAUCAAGAACUGAGAGAUACUCUUUACUUUUAGGGUUAUAAAGAUUUCAUCUAGGAGACAAUGGGUUUUCUAGCGAAUAGAUUAUUGGCAAAAUUGCGGACAAUUUUGCAUUUGCAAAGAAGGGAUUUUUUUCCCCAACUAAAGUAAGCCCUCCUAAGAAUGAGAGAAGCUAGAAUCAAAGUCUGUCCUCAAUAUUACUAUUACAAUGGGAAACAGGGAAUAUAGAAAGAAUUAAUGAAAUAUUCCUUGUUUCACAGUUUGCAAAAGCAGUUGUUGAAGCUCUACAUUCAACACGUGCUUUUAGUGUGCAGAGCUAAGAUAUCUUUCUGUUUAUUGUCCUGAAAAAUUGCUAUUAGCAGAAAAAAAUGUUCUGUUAACAGCACAAUGUUUACAAAAAUUCAAUUGCUUAUUGAUGGGAUUUUUUUAUUUUCGGAGAAACAAAUUUUGUUGUUUUGGACAACAGAGGCCUAAAUUAAGCUUGACAUAAAGAGGCCAGAUUUAUCAACACAAAUCAAAGCCACUAAAUUCCAUUCCAACCUUGCAUGGCAAAUGGCAUAUAGUUUGCUGUAGAGUAGUUCAUCAAAGUUUGUAUCAGCGGCAACCGGAGAAAGGCUCUUGAAUGUGAAAGGGAAAAUUAAGCAAAGUGGGUAUUUUGAAAAAUUCACCCACCUUUCUUGUUUCCAAAAAACAUCUUAUAUAGAUUUAUCCCAAUAAAAAACAAAUUGUGAUAUCACAUAACAAAUCUUGAAGAAUAUCACAAAACAAUCUUUUACCCCAAAUUGUCUUGGUGAAACCCAAAAUUGUGUCAGCGAAACAAAAAGAAAAUUUGAACAAGUAACAAAUCAUCAUUUAAAUGAUAGUACAGAACAGAUUGCAAAUAGUUAACACUUACAAAAUACUGAGAUGAGGAUAACAUGGCCGAAUUCUCCCUCUUCUUGAAGACAGCAUAUAAAAUUCCUCCAAUCAUUCCUCCAAAGGUCUAAUUAUUUCUUUAUCCCUUUGUUAGCUGUAUCAAAAUUUAUGUACCCAGAAAGGGGCAUUUCUUGCAAUGUCUUUCAGCCUUGCAAAACUAGACAAUCUUAGCAGGGGCUGCCAUGUUGAAUUGCAAGUCUGAUAUGAUUCAACAAUUUUCUUUCUCCUGCGUAGGGUGGCAAAAAUCCAAAAUAAAAUAAAAAAAAUUAGCUUCCAAUUACCCAGAAUCAAAAUAUUUUGAAAAAUCAAAAGGAAAUCCUGAUUAACAGUCAGGAGAAAUAAUAAAUAAUAAAGCCCACCAACAAGUUGGGUUGGUUUUUAAAAAAUGGAAUGUUUUAACACAAAAAGCGAGAAGAAUGGAGGAGGGAAGAAAGGAUGUAGGAGUAGCAAGUGCCAAAGCACUUGGACAAAUAAAAUGGCAUUUUAAAAUAUUUUCAAAAGAGCUACAUUUGAUUUCGUACCAGAAAGAGAUGUGCCGGGAAGGAGAAAGAUUUUGCUGCUCAGUAGCCGAUUGCUUUAACUUCGAUGAUCUGGACAAUCAUCAGGAAUGGUUUCUUUUUUCAAGAAAGGCCAGUUUCAGUGAAACAGCUCCCCCCCCCAUGCGCUCCCUUUUCCUUCUCAGAGCAGUUCAGCGCCAAGAAAUGGGCGGUGCCUGCAUGCCAGGCUUCAUCCGAAUGAGACGCCAAGGCCGACAAGAGGCUGGCAUAAAGAGAAGCUGGCACAAAUUCCUCCACUUGGAACUCCACUUCAAUAUACCCUUCAAAUAGUCUCCCUUUAUUAGCAAACUAGGGGUAAAAAAAUCCAUGGAACCCCACCCCCACAAGCAAAUAUCUCUAAAGUUUUUCAGUCUCUAUUGAGAACCAUUUCCAAAGGGCAAUUUCAACCAAUACCUAUUCUUUCAACCCAUGCCAGUUAAAACAAGCAGCUCAUUCUCUCUUCUCUCUGUUUUAGCAGCCCAAGGUAUAUACAUAAAAUAAAUGUUGACUUCUACUUUCCUAACUUGAGAUGUUGGAGGCGGCAACCUCCUUUAAAACACUGCCAAAGAAGAUGAAAGACAAAAUGAAACAAAAAGGAAACAAACACAAAACAACCCUCUUAUGUUAUACAAGAAGCAGUUUCGUUUUGCGAAAUGUUUCUUUUGUCGGCGGCAAAAAUGGAGUUAAGAGGCAUAAAUGGAGAUGAGGAUGGUUUAAAAACAAAUCAAAGCAAGCAAACAAACUACCGGGAUAUGCCAGAAGAGGACACCCUCCCUCUAGCUCCCAUUUUCCAUUUUUUCCUGUGCCAGUCUUAGAGAGAGCGAGAGAGAGAAAAGAAAUUAAAAAAAGAAAGAAAGCGAGUAAGCGAACGAGCGAGCGAAAGGGGCAGUGAAUAGCUGCUCGUUCAGAAAUGGGCCUACAGCCAUUUCCACUUUGGAAGCCUCAGCAGUCGUUCUCUCUCUCUUUCUCUCUCUUUCGCUCUCUCUCUCUUGCUUUCCCUCUCCCCGCAUUCUCCCUGCCCACUCUGGCUUAGCUGCCAAGUCAGAGUUGGCACUGCUUCCCAGGCAGCACGGAACAAAGCCAUUUCCCAUCCCUGUACAGGCAACUGUCAAUAAGCAAAGUGACAGUCACAUCUCCUGCAUGUUAAUCCUAAUGGACAGGAGAUGUUUGCAAGAGAAUAAAAAGCCCCUUCACCCCUCCAAAGCCGUACAAUAAAAUCAUUUAAAAAAAAAAUUAAAGGAAAAAGCCUCCUUCGUCGACCCUGUUUGGAAGGAUCAUUUAAAAAUACAGCUGUCUGCAAUAAGGAUUGGAGAGGGAAAGAAAGCGGGGGAGAGAAGAGGGCUUACCCACCAACACCCUGGCAAACAAGGCUGCUUUGCAUCUGUUGUACCUGUUCCUGUUGCCUUUCUUGCCUCUUGGAAUCGUGACAAGAGAGAAAAGUCGCCUCUGGUGGGUUGCUCAAAGCUGCGGGUCUGCAGCCCUGUGCAGGAAGUUGGCACCGAUCCCAGGCAGCGCAAAAGGCACCCCCAGAUUGCAGUGACGUCAUUUUCUCCUCUCUUCCAAGUUUCACAAAGGUUUCUUGAUUUCUCCAUUCCUGGUCCAAUUGACACUGUCCUGUGGCCAUUCAGCUUUACUCUAAAACUCACUGGCCCGAUUUCCUUCCUUUUGUGCAGGCAGCACGACAGAAAGACAUUAAGCGGACAAGGUUCAGUGACAAGGAAUCAAAAACUCUUCGGUUUUGAACAGUGGUAUUUAAAAGGUUUUAUAGAAACUCAAUUUUAAAAAUAUACCGCUUUUUUGUUUUAUG